GGGGGUGUAGCUCAAAUGGUAGAGCGCGCGCUUAGCAUGCGCGAGGUACCGGGAUCGAUACCCGGCACCUCCA
Molecule: non-coding RNA, 73 nt
Organism: Ciona savignyi (Pacific transparent sea squirt)
Lineage: Eukaryota; Metazoa; Chordata; Ascidiacea; Phlebobranchia; Cionidae
Source: Rfam